RNAcentral lists this ribosomal RNA (549 nucleotides) under uncultured bacterium. Its description in RNAcentral is "bacterial SSU rRNA". It matches the Rfam family "Bacterial small subunit ribosomal RNA", at positions 355 to 895 of the family's 1533-position model. The record is from RNAcentral.
UAGGGAAUCCUCGGCAAUGGACGGAAGUCUGACCGAGCAACGCCGCGUGAGUGAAGAAGGUUUUCGGAUCGUAAAGCUCUGUUGUAAGAGAAGAACGAGUGUGAGAGUGGAAAGUUCACACUGUGACGGUAUCUUACCAGAAAGGGACGGCUAACUACGUGCCAGCAGCCGCGGUAAUACGUAGGUCCCGAGCGUUGUCCGGAUUUAUUGGGCGUAAAGCGAGCGCAGGCGGUUAGAUAAGUCUGAAGUUAAAGGCUGUGGCUUAACCAUAGUAGGCUUUGGAAACUGUUUAACUUGAGUGCAAGAGGGGAGAGUGGAAUUCCAUGUGUAGCGGUGAAAUGCGUAGAUAUAUGGAGGAACACCGGUGGCGAAAGCGGCUCUCUGGCUUGUAACUGACGCUGAGGCUCGAAAGCGUGGGGAGCAAACAGGAUUAGAUACCCUGGUAGUCCACGCUGUAAACGAUGAGUGCUAGGUGUUAGACCCUUUCCGGGGUUUAGUGCCGUAGCUAACGCAUUAAGCACUCCGCCUGGGGAGUACGACCGCAAGGUU